UUUAUACAGUGUGCCGGGAACCGAUUUCAUGAGAAGGCAAAAAAGCUGCGCUCAUAAACAUACGGACUUUAUUUGCAAACGUUUUUCUGCUUGUGCUUUUAUCAAAUGGAGUUCACAAUACUGGGAUCGGAAAACACGAUCCGGCCCUGUUUACAUCCUUUAGUGCGCUGGAUUGGGCACCUGUAGAUUUGUUUGUGAGUGGUUUUUGGCCGUCGAAAUCAGCUUGAUUUGCUGCCAGAGAAAUACUGGGCAUCGGGUUUGGUGUACCAUUUGCUUCACGUGUGACAUCAGCAUGGGGAAGGUUUUGGCUUUCAAGCGAAAACAGAUUUGGCAUGUAUUAUGUUCAUUUUGAAGUCAAAUACAUUAACCCACCAUACACAAGGUAUCAGUGUAGUGCAUGGGUCCACUGGCCACCUCCGGCUCCCGAACAUCUCGAUGGCGCUCCGUUUGAAAAGUUCAAUUACUGCGUUCCAUUUUAAAUCAUCAUUGAUCGUCAUAUUCAAAGCCAUUCAAUAACACGGA
This is a long non-coding RNA of Ruditapes philippinarum (Manila clam), 522 nucleotides long. RefSeq lists it as uncharacterized. The record is from RefSeq and is a predicted model, not a curated record. Lineage: Eukaryota; Metazoa; Mollusca; Bivalvia; Venerida; Veneridae. The transcript is spliced from 3 exons.